GACGAACGCUGGCGGCGUGCCUAAUACAUGCAAGUAGAACGCUGAAGGAGGAGCUUGCUUCUCUGGAUGAGUUGCGAACGGGUGAGUAACGCGUAGGUAACCUGCCUGGUAGCGGGGGAUAACUAUUGGAAACGAUAGCUAAUACCGCAUAAUAGCAGUUGUUGCAUGACAACUGUUUGAAAGGUGCAAUUGCACCACUACCAGAUGGACCUGCGUUGUAUUAGCUAGUUGGUGGGGUAACGGCUCACCAAGGCGACGAUACAUAGCCGACCUGAGAGGGGGAUCGCCCAACCGGGGACUGAGCCCCGGCCCAGCCUCCUACGGGAGGCAGCAGUAGGGAAUCUUCGGCAAGGGACGGAAGUCUACCCGAGAAACGCCGCGGGAGGGAAAAAGUUUUUCGGAUCUUAAAGCUUUUUUUUAAGGGAAGAACGGUUGGGGGGGGGGAAAGUCCCCCCUGUGACGGUAUUUUCCCAGAAAGGGACGGCUAACUCCGU
RNAcentral lists this ribosomal RNA (494 nucleotides) under uncultured bacterium. RNAcentral describes it as "partial 16S ribosomal RNA". It matches the Rfam family "Bacterial small subunit ribosomal RNA", at positions 28 to 506 of the family's 1533-position model. The record is from RNAcentral.